Long non-coding RNA from Neofelis nebulosa (Clouded leopard), 452 nucleotides. RefSeq lists it as uncharacterized. The transcript is spliced from 3 exons. NCBI's taxonomy places the organism in Eukaryota, Metazoa, Chordata, Mammalia, Carnivora, Felidae. The record is from RefSeq and is a predicted model, not a curated record.
UAGAAGGCGGAGCUUUGGGAGGUGCUGAAGUCUCUAGGGUGAAGCCCUCAUGAAUGGGAUUAGUGCCUUACAAAAGGGCCUUCGCAGAGCCCCCUCCCCUUCCUGCCGUGUCAGGAUCCGAUCAGAUGCCUGCCACCUGGAAGAAGGCCUUCGCUGACCGUGCUGGCGCCUUGAUCUCGAACUCCCAGUCUCCAGAACGAGUGUGACUCCCACUGCGUCAGCUGUUCAGUUGGAGGAAGGCCACUCAAUUAUCCAGCCACAAUAUACAAUGUAAUUGACAAUCAUCCUUGGGCUGAGACAUUUUCUCCUUGGAGACUCCCCUGAUUGAAGUUGGGCUACGUACACAUACUGAAGGUCUCUGGAUUCCCUGGCAACCUAGGAAAUCGAACUCCCUGGCCUUGGGUCACUUAGCCUUGUCCUCAGAGACGAUACCGGACAGAACCGUGAAGGAG